RNAcentral lists this ribosomal RNA (1176 nucleotides) under uncultured Rozellomycota. Its description in RNAcentral is "SSU rRNA". It matches the Rfam family "Eukaryotic small subunit ribosomal RNA", at positions 474 to 1707 of the family's 1831-position model. The record is from RNAcentral. Lineage: Eukaryota; Fungi; Rozellomycota.
UAAAUACUGAUGCCGGGGGAUUUCCCUUGGCAAUCGGAAUGAGAUAAAGCUAAAGAUCUAAACGAGUAACCAGUGGAGGGCAAGUCUGGUGCCAGCAGCCGCGGUAAUUCCAGCUCCACUAGCGUAUGCUAAAGUUGCUGCAGUUAAAAAGCUCGUAGUUGAACCUUGGGCUGUGGGGGUGUGGUGCAGCGAAUGCUGCUACUGCGCUCUCCGGCCUCUUUGGGGGCGGUGCGCUUAACGGCGUACCAUUCCCCGUGUUACUGUGAAGAAAUUAGAGUGUUUAAAGCAGGCAGUCGCUUGAAUACAUCAGCAUGGAAUAACAGGAUAGGACUCUGUCGAUCUUGUUGGUUUGGGGAUAGGAGUAAUGAUUGAUAGGAACAGUUGGGGGCAUUAGUAUUUAGCAGUCAGAGGUGAAAUUCUUGGAUUUGCUAAAGACUAACUAGUGCGAAAGCAUUUGCCAAGGAUGUUUUCAUUAAUCAAGAACGAAAGUUAGGGGAUCGAAGACGAUCAGAUACCGUCGUAGUCUUAACUAUAAACGUUGCCGACUCUGGAUCCGGGGCAACCGCAUGGUUCGCCUGGGGACAGUGUGAGAAAUCAAAGUUUUUGGGUUCUGGGGGAGUAUGGUCGCAAGGCUGAAACUUAAAGGAAUUGACGGAAGGGCACCACCAGGAGUGGAGCCUGCGGCUUAAUUUGACUCAACACGGGAAAACUCACCAGGUCCGGACAUGGUAAGGAUUGACAGAUUGAGAGCUCUUUCAUGAUUCUGUGGGUGGUGGUGCAUGGCCGUUCUUAGUUGGUGGAGUGAUUUGUCUGGUUAAUUCCGAUAACGAACGAGACCUCUGUGGGUGAAUGGGGGCGGUAUGUGAAUAUCGUGCUCCCUCUCACUCAGACUGGCUGUGUUUAGCAGCCGGAAGUGGGAGGCAAUAACAGGUCUGUGAUGCCCUUAGAUGUUCUGGGCUGCACGCGCGCUACACUGACAGAGGCAGCGAGUAUUGCCUUGGCCGAGAGGUCUGGGAAAUCUUGGGAAACUCUGUCGUGCUGGGGAUAGAUCAUUGCAAUUAUUGGUCUUGAACGAGGAAUUCCUAGUAAGCGCAUGUCAUUAGCAUGCGUUGAUUACGUCCCUGCCCUUUGUACACACCGCCCGUCGCUACUACCGAUUGAAUGGCUUAGUGAGGC